AUUGAACGCUGGCGGCAGGCCUAACACAUGCAAGUCGAGCGGAUGAACGGAGCUUGCUCCUGGAUUCAGCGGCGGACGGGUGAGUAAGGCCCAGGAAUCUGCCUGGCAGUGGGGGAUAACGUCAGGAAACGGGCGCUAAUACCGCAUCGGUCCUGAGGGUGAAAGGGGGGGAUCUUCGGACCUCACGCUCUCAGAUGAGCCUAGGUCGGAUUAGCUAGCUGGUGGGGUAAAGGCCUACCAAGGCGACGAUCCGUAACUGGUCUGAGAGGAUGAUCAGACACACUGGAACUGAGACACGGUCCAGACUCCUACGGGAGGCAGCAGUGGGGAAUCUUGGACAAUGGGCGAAAGCCUGAUCCAGCCAUGCCGCGUGUGUGAAGAAGGUCUUCGGAUUGUAAAGCACUUUUAGUUGGGAGGAAGGGCAGUAAGUUAAUACCUUGCUGUUUUGACGGUACCAACAGAAUAAGCACCGGCUAACUUCGUG
This 484-nucleotide ribosomal RNA is filed under the name uncultured bacterium. Its description in RNAcentral is "partial 16S ribosomal RNA". It matches the Rfam family "Bacterial small subunit ribosomal RNA", at positions 30 to 507 of the family's 1533-position model. The record is from RNAcentral.